Molecule: long non-coding RNA, 1202 nt
Organism: Oncorhynchus tshawytscha (Chinook salmon)
Lineage: Eukaryota; Metazoa; Chordata; Actinopteri; Salmoniformes; Salmonidae
Source: Ensembl
AUACAUUUGGGGGAUUUGGGAAAUUAAUGAUUAACUUAUGUGGAUAAGAAACAGUUUGAAUAGGCUGAACGAUCAGUAAAUGAUGUGAAACGGUUGAAAGACAGCUGUAUUUGUAAGGAGCUCAGUUCAUUUGUACCUCGUAGCGGUCUAUCUAUCCACGAUGAAGCUCAUCCUGACAAUCUCCUGCGCCUUCACACUGUUCUACACAGCUGACAUGCUCAAUUGCUACACCUGUGAGCCUGAGGAUGAAAAAUGUCGGACAACAGUAUUAAAGAACUGUGUGAAAGCAGUAUGUUCCACCUUAACAAGCAUAGAAUAUCCUUCAGAUUCCAUCAGAGUAUCUAAGGGUUGUACGUAUGUAGCCAAAAACUGUUAUUUCAUGGAUAAAGUAACAGAACUGUCAAUGAACAACGGAUACUCACAAGCCUCCCAAUCCUCGUUUUGCUGCAACACGACAGGCUGCAACAUAGACACCCUCCCUGCCCUCAGUGACAAGCCCAAUAAACUACAAUGUCACACCUGGGUGAAUGGUACUUAUGAAGUUUUGCAAUGCAUUGGAAUUGAAGACCACUGCUUCAAAUAUAAACAGCUCACUCCUGAUGGGGGCAAAGUCACCAUUUAUGGAGGCUGUGCCUCCAGUGACUCAUGCCUCUGGUCUGAGAUGCCCAACCAGACGAACCUCAACUGCUGCAAGGGGAGUCUGUGUAACAAAGCCAUGGGGAUGAGUCUGAGUUCUCUCCCUCUUCUGCUGGGUCUCCUCCUCAUCUCACUGGUCUAGUUAGUGGGAGGAUUCAUGGUCUUACACACAUCUGAAAGCAGGAAAGGAAAAGGAAAUAGAGAGAAGGACCACCAAACAUCUGAUGCUAAACCAAAGAAUGUUAACGAGGCCAUAAAUAUAUUUUUAUACCUUUUUACUAUGUUUGAUAUGAUGCCAUUAUCGGGUGAAUGUAGCAGGGUAAAGUCAGGUCUGAUGGGGCAGAGUAAACAGAUUUAGGAGAUGGGUUUAUUCUCAGGUAUAGGAUCAUACCCAUAUAUUUUCACUUCUCUUAGUUUUUUUCUGUACUGCUUUUUAGUUGAGGCUUGUAGCUAGCUGAGGGUUGUAACAUGGCAGUGUGUACCCAUUUAUAUCAACAGUUAUUAUCAAUCAGUUAUUAUAUGCUUAAUGUGCUUUGGGACUAAUAAAAUAAAAGUAAAGAAUCCUA